This is a long non-coding RNA of Ornithodoros turicata, 742 nucleotides long. RefSeq lists it as uncharacterized. NCBI's taxonomy places the organism in Eukaryota, Metazoa, Arthropoda, Arachnida, Ixodida, Argasidae. The transcript has 2 exons. The record is from RefSeq and is a predicted model, not a curated record.
CGGCACAGGCAAGGACGACCCAGGGCUUGCUGAAGAGUCAUCCGAAGAGUCACUGCCUGACAACAAGCUGAGCGACAUAGCUGAUAUAACCUUCACCGUGCAGCCAGUACCGCUGGUCGAAGCGGGCGACCCGUUCAAGCGGGACGCAGUCGAGCGUUCCUCACCCACGGCUGACGUGCCCAAAGAAGAUGGCGACGUUUCGGCGCUUGCAGAGCCGAUGUUACCCAGCGGCGAGGGGCCGUCGGGCUCAUGCAGUAGCUUGAGACCCGAGUUCGACGACAGAGCUCCAGUGGAACCGGUGGCCACCACCUCACACGCGGAGUGUGCGGCACCGUGUGCAGCACCGGAGGGCGUCGUCGGCGCAGCUUUUGUGGUUUCGGAUGGUUCACCGCCUAAGUCGCGCAGGCCUGCUAGACGAGGCACAAACAGGUCACGGCACCUUCUGUGCCACAGUUCCGAUGCUCUCUGGCGUCUCCCGGAGGCGACGUCCCGACUCCGAUCGGGAAGGUCAUACGACAGUGUCGUGACCCGGGCUGCAACGCGACGGAAACAGCCAAAGAAAAAGGAGCCACCUCAGCCCUGGCGAUGAGGGGUGUGCGUUUCUGCCAGGAGGCCAUCGACGCCUUCGCUGUAUAUACGGGGAAAAGCGAGACUAAUAUGGCUGCGUUGUGUCGCAUCUGCCAUGGCAAGUGUGCCCCUGUGUGUGUGAAAUAAAAAGCUUUUUUCUUUUGUUUUUCCACGA